AGCGAACGCUGGCGGCAGGCCUAACACAUGCAAGUCGAACGAACUCUUCGGAGUUAGUGGCGGACGGGUGAGUAACACGUGGGAACGUGCCUUUUGGUUCGGAAUAACUCAGUGUAACUUGUGCUAAUACCGAAUGUGCCCUUCGGGGGAAAGAUUUAUCGCCAUUAGAGCGGCCCGCGUCUGAUUAGCUAGUUGGUGAGGUAACGGCUCACCAAGGCGACGAUCAGUAGCUGGUCUGAGAGGAUGACCAGCCACACUGGGACUGAGACACGGCCCAGACUCCUACGGGAGGCAGCAGUGGGGAAUCUUGCGCAAUGGGGGAAAGCCUGACGCAGCCAUGCCGCGUGAAUGAUGAAGGUCGUAGGAUAGUAAAAUUCUUUCACCGGGGGCGAUAAUGACGGUACCCGGAGAAGAAGCCCCGGCUAACUUCGUG
This 433-nucleotide ribosomal RNA is filed under the name uncultured bacterium. RNAcentral describes it as "partial 16S ribosomal RNA". It matches the Rfam family "Bacterial small subunit ribosomal RNA", at positions 29 to 507 of the family's 1533-position model. The record is from RNAcentral.